CAACCCAUGUGAACAUACCUGUUGCCUCGGCGGCCUACGCGGCAGCUACCCUGUAGCUACCCUGUAGUCCGCCGACGGAUUUUCAAAACUCUUGUUUUCAGCUGUAUCUCUGAGAAUAAAACAAAUAAAUCAAAACUUUCAACAACGGAUCUCUUGGUUCUGGCAUCGAUGAAGAACGCAGCGAAAUGCGAUAAGUAAUGUGAAUUGCAGAAUUCAGUGAAUCAUCGAAUCUUUGAACGCACAUUGCGCCCAUUAGUAUUCUAGUGGGCAUGCCUGUUCGAGCGUCAUUAAUUCCACUUAAGCCCAGCUUAGUGUUGGGAGACUGCGCCGGCGGUAGCUACCCUGUAGCUACCCUGCAGCUCCUCAAAGACAGCGGCGGAGUUGUGAUAUCCUCUGAGCUUAGUAACUUGUUCUAGCUUUCGAGUGUACCACUUCCCCUGCCGUAAAACCCUUAAUUUUUUAAUGGUUGACCUCGGAUCAGGUAGGAAUACCCGCUGAACUUAA
Molecule: ribosomal RNA, 504 nt
Filed under: fungal sp. 2834 YZ-2011
Lineage: Eukaryota; Fungi
Description: eukaryotic LSU rRNA
Rfam family: 5.8S ribosomal RNA (bases 134-287)
Source: RNAcentral